Molecule: ribosomal RNA, 381 nt
Filed under: uncultured marine Chaetocerotaceae
Lineage: Eukaryota; Bacillariophyta; Thalassiosirophyceae; Chaetocerotales; Chaetocerotaceae
Description: SSU rRNA
Rfam family: Eukaryotic small subunit ribosomal RNA
Source: RNAcentral
AGCUCCAAUAGCGUAUAUUAAAGUUGCUGCAGUUAAAAAGCUCGUAGUUGCAUUUCCGAGGCAAGGGAUUAGUCCGACCUUUGGUGGGUAUUUAAUCCUCUUGCCUCGUCCUUGAGUGGUGCUUCUUGGUAUUAAGUUAUCGAGGAGAUAGCCGCUCAUCGUUUACUGUGAGAAAAUUAGAGUGUUCAAAGCAGGCUUAUGCCGUUGAAUAUAUUAGCAUGGAAUAAUAAGAUAGGACCUCGGUACUAUUUUGUUGGUUUGAGAACCAAGGUAAUGAUGAAUAGGGACAGUUUGGAGUAUUCGUAUUCAGUUGUCAGAGGUGAAAUUCUUAGAUUUACGGAAGACGAACUACUGCGAAAGCAUUUACCAAGGAUGUUUUCA